GGGGGAGCGCGGGGGUGGUGGCUUGAGCAUGGCGGGCUGCAGGUCCCGAGCCCUGCCCCACAGGUAGGCGGCGGAGGCCCCGCGAGAAUUCCAGCGUAUUGUGGGCGGGCCCGCACUGCGGGAGAGACCCGGCGCACUCUCCGCAGCUGCUGGCCCGAGUGCUGAGCCCCUCACUGCUGGGGCCGGCGGCGCUGCCGGCCGCUCGGAGUGCGGGCCUGCUGAGCCCGCGCCCACCCAGAACUCGCUGGCCCGCGAGUGCAGCGCGCAGCCCCUGCUCCCGCCCGCGCGUCUCCCUCCACAUCUCCGGGCAAGCAAAGGGAGCCGGCUCCAGCCUCGGCCAGCCCAGAGAGUGCCUCCCACAGUGCAGAGGCGGGCUGAAGGGCUGGCUUCUCAAGCGUGGCCAGAGUGGACGCCGAGGCCGAGGAGGCACCCACAGUGAGCAAGGGCUGACAGCACGUUGUCACCUCAGUACCACAGAAAUUGAAAACAGACAGGAGACUACUGUAUAUCAGUUCAAGGCCGAGUGACAAUCUUCUAAGAAAAACUCACAGAACUGGAAUUUGGAAGGCAAGUUAUGGGAUCUCAAACAUGUGGAGUGUGGAAAACAUGAAACAUUUCCUGAAAAUAAAAUAAUAAUAUCUGUCAAAUCAAAUCAAAUUCACUAACUCUGCAAGACUAAAUGCAAUUUUUAAGGUAAAUUUUAAAUUUUUAAGUGCUUAUUUUUAAGAAAGGUUGUGUUCAUUCUAUUAAUCUUUGUUCUAGACAUCACAGAUUACUCAAAUAAGCUGUUACUUGCUAGUGAUUUUGGUUUUGAAUAUUUUCUGGAAAACGGGUUAUAGAGUUUAAAUUAUAAGAUUCUUCUUCAGACAAUAAUGGUUUUUAAUGCUCCUCCUUCUCUGCAAGAAUAUGAUUGGUUGAGUGGGUUGCAGAAAAACUUGGUUUUUAGUUUUGUAUAAGAGGAACUCUUAGAAUUAGUGAAUUAAGUCUUGUCACUGCGGUUGAACAAAUUGCUGCCUUAGAAGCAAAUGUAAUACAAAGAGGGAGGGAGUGGGGAAGGUGGGCUAUGGUAUUAAAAUUGGCUUCAGUUUACUCAUGUAUAAAAUGGACAGAAUGUUAUUACCAACUCCUAGGAACAGUGUGAGGAGUCUAUACAAUAAUGCAUAUAUAGGGUUUAGUGCAAUUUCUGGAACUUAGUAAGUGUCCACUGAAUUAAAGGGAUGAUGUUGAAGAUGAGAGAAGAGGUGAGCACAGUUUCAUAAUAUACCCCCUCUAGUUCUUGUCUUGUCCUACUACGCCACCUAGUAGGACCAAGAACAAGAUAGGCUAGUCCUCACUAAUGGUCUGCCUUUGUUUUGUGCACAGUUGAAAAUGCCUAAGCAAAUCUUUUCUAGGUUUCUGCACAACAUUGUGAAUAAAAACACCUACUUACCUCUUAUUCCAAAACCCUCCUUUGUCUCUGUCCUGAAACUCCAUUGCUUGCAGAAUAGAUGAGGUGGUUGAAAAUCUGUCUGUCAAAUCUGUGAGAGAAAACUGGAUUUAUUUGCAGUAGUUGAGGAUGGGGAAACAAGCAAAAUAUUUAGUUCCAUGGGCCAGGCAAAGUUCUAGCAUUGCUCUGCAAUGACAUUUAAAACCCUUAGCAGUCACCAUAUGAUGUGCUUGAUUGGUCUUCUAUCUACCUACUCACUUCUUUAUUCUCCCUUUACUACUCUGUAGCAUAAGUGUUGCUAUGCACAGUUAACUGGUCUCCAAGAUUCCCUUCCCACACGGUGGCCCUUUGUUUUCCAGUGAAGCCUCCUACCUUGUCGAUUGUAUAUCUGUUUACAUUCACACCGUUCUUAGCAUUCUGCGGAGAGCCAAGCACCGCUCUUGCUACCAGGGAACAGGUGUGGGUAGAAUCUGUUUUGAAAAAAUGCACAGUGAAGAUGGAACCAACAAUUGCAGCUAAUGGUGUUCUUUACAUAUACUCCUGCUAAAUGUAGAAGAAUGAGAAACAAGAUUAAAAAGCCAUAUGUAGUUUGCAGAUGAAUAUAAACAUUACACGUUUGCAUAUCAUUUACUGAUGUCACCAUGUCAUCUGGUCUAUUUUGCCUUAAACCUAUGCCUUAAAUCUGUCCGCUGUUCUAUAUUUCCACUGCUUUACAGUGGACUCUCCCUCAUUCAUGGCCCAUGAAUGCAAGCAACAGAAAACAAUACUAGUCUCAUUAAGAAAUAGAAAAUUUAGACAAAUGGUGUCCUUUGCUCCAAAGUCGAUGAGAAUCUGAAAGACUCUUUGUGCACAGUUGAAAAUGUCUAAGCAAAUCUUUUCUAGGUUUCUGCACAACGUUGUGAAUAAAAAUACCUACUUACCUGUUAUUCCAGAAUGGGAAAUUUAGACUGGGAAAAUUACAAGGCAGAACAAUGGCCUUUCAAGGGCAUGAAGUCUUCCAAGAAUAGUGUUAUAGAACUGCAGGCACCACCACUGCCUGGGUGGUUCUGCGUUAGGUGAGAGUGGAUCUUAACACUUCUUUGACUUUAUGUGUCUCAGUCCUUUGAGACUCAAAGUCCUAGUGGAGCAUACUAAUGGCUGAACUUAAGUUAAGGGUUGAGCUCCGAUUGUGAUAAGACAAAAAAGAGAAAGAUUCUACUCCCUGUUCAGACUGCAGAUCAGGAAGCAUGCACUAUAUCUCUGGAAUGUACACAGAAUGGAGUUCCUCCAAAUUAAGAGAGGAAUAUUAAUUGCAUACUGGACAGUUUAAAAAAGUAAAAUAUUUCUACUUCC
Long non-coding RNA from Pan troglodytes (chimpanzee), 2758 nucleotides. RefSeq lists it as uncharacterized. NCBI's taxonomy places the organism in Eukaryota, Metazoa, Chordata, Mammalia, Primates, Hominidae. The transcript has 3 exons. The record is from RefSeq and is a predicted model, not a curated record.